Molecule: long non-coding RNA, 279 nt
Organism: Pseudophryne corroboree (corroboree frog)
Lineage: Eukaryota; Metazoa; Chordata; Amphibia; Anura; Myobatrachidae
Exons: 3
Source: RefSeq, a predicted model, not a curated record
GAGGACUGGACAUUCACUGACUUGCUGUUGGAAGGUUCCAAAAUCCAUUUAUUCAUACAAGGAUCUUUUGUAUGCAUAAGCUUCAUUUUUUGAGCUGACCUUUGAGACACAUCCCUGAUGAAGUCUUGAUAUUAGACGAAACGCGUUGGGCUAUUACUCUGUUUUCUGAUGUUAUCUCCGAAUACUCAAUAAGGAAGAUUAAGGACACAGGCAGAAGUUUAUCUGCACCCUUCCACAAAACAUAGAUUUGCAUCUUGUUAAUUAUGUAAUAUGAUGGAC